GCUUGUCUCAAAGAUUAAGCCAUGCAUGUCUAAGUAUAGUACCUUAUACUGCGAAACUGCGAAUGGCUCAUUAAAUCAGUUAUAGUUUAUUUGAUAAUUGAAAAUUACAUGGAUAACCGUGGUAAUUCUAGAGCUAAUACAUGCUAUCAAGCCCGACUUCUUGAAGGGUUGUAUUUAUUAGACUUAAGCCAAUAUUCCUUGUGUCUAUUGCGAUGAUUCAUAAUAACUGAUCGAAUCUCAAAUUUGAGAUAAAUCAUUCAAGUUUCUGCCCUAUCAGCUUUCGAUGGUAGUGUAUUGGACUACCAUGGCAGUAACGGGUAACGAAGAAUUAGGGUUCGAUUUCGGAGAGGGAGCAUGAGAAACGGCUACCACAUCUAAGGAAGGCAGCAGG
This 391-nucleotide ribosomal RNA is filed under the name uncultured Scuticociliatia. RNAcentral's name for it is "partial small subunit ribosomal RNA". It matches the Rfam family "Eukaryotic small subunit ribosomal RNA", at positions 30 to 432 of the family's 1831-position model. Lineage: Eukaryota; Ciliophora; Oligohymenophorea. The record is from RNAcentral.